Molecule: long non-coding RNA, 652 nt
Organism: Nilaparvata lugens (brown planthopper)
Lineage: Eukaryota; Metazoa; Arthropoda; Insecta; Hemiptera; Delphacidae
Exons: 3
Source: RefSeq, a predicted model, not a curated record
AUAUAUGAAGGAGGAGGAUUAUUACGAAUAGGCCUACAAACAUGAGUAUGUUUUUGAAGGCAUGUUUUUAAAAUAAUUGAAAAGGAGGAAAUUUACACAUUAUUAUCUGGCAGCUCGGACAUCUUCCAGUCCUAUCUGAAAGAAAACUAUGGCCACAUCGAGAUGACAGCAGAAGUCACCACAGAGGGUCAUGUGUGGACUACUAAUGCAAAAAAAGUGAAAUUUAUUUGGGAUUAAAAGUUAACAGACCGUUGUGCAACCCGGUGAUAAUCUUGUAUUAAAGGAAGUUCUUAUGUAGAAAGCACAAGUUAUGAAGUUAGUAAAGGCUAUUAUUAAUUACAUCAGAUGACUUUUGUUGCUGCAAGAGUGUCGACCAUGUUCAUCUACUGAAGCUGCAAUGACAUCCACUAUCUCAUAGAAUGCUCUAUGAGCAGUACUUUGAGAAAAAUUAUAUCUGUCAUCAGCAGCUAAGAAUGUCUCUGGUUUGCUCAACAUCCAAAACUAAAAAGUAUUUUCUCCUCAAGAGGUAUUUUUAUAUUUGCAGGCUGAUUAAUUCUCCUUCCUAUAACUUCUAAGCGCACCUAAAAAUGUUGAUGUUAAUCUUUGUAAAAUUGGAUUUUAAUAAAAAAACAAACAAUCUACCAAUUUUCGA